AACGAACGCUGGCGGCAUGCCUAACACAUGCAAGUCGAACGAGACCUUCGGGUCUAGUGGCGCACGGGUGCGUAACGCGUGGGAACCUGCCCUUAGGUUCGGAAUAACUCCCCGAAAGGGGUGCUAAUACCGGAUAAUGUCUUCGGACCAAAGAUUUAUCGCCUUUGGAUGGGCCCGCGUUGGAUUAGCUAGUUGGUAGGGUAAAAGCCUACCAAGGCGACGAUCCAUAGCUGGUCUGAGAGGAUGAUCAGCCACACUGGGACUGAGAAACGGCCCAGACUCCUACGGGAGGCAGCAGUGGGGAAUAUUGGAAAAUGGGCGAAAGCCUGAUCCAGCAAUGCCGCGUGAGUGAUGAAGGCCUUAGGGUAGUAAAGCUCUUUUACCCGGGAUGAUAAUGACAGUACCGGGAGAAUAAGCACCGGCUAACUCCGUG
This 433-nucleotide ribosomal RNA is filed under the name uncultured bacterium. Its description in RNAcentral is "partial 16S ribosomal RNA". It matches the Rfam family "Bacterial small subunit ribosomal RNA", at positions 29 to 507 of the family's 1533-position model. The record is from RNAcentral.